GGAAAGGCGCGCGAUACAGGGUGACAGCCCCGUACACAAAAAUGCACAUGCUGUGAGCUCGAUGAGUAGGGCGGGACACGUGGUAUCCUGUCUGAAUAUGGGGGGACCAUCCUCCAAGGCUAAAUACUCCUGACUGACCGAUAGUGAACCAGUACCGUGAGGGAAAGGCGAAAAGAACCCCGGCGAGGGGAGUGAAAAAGAACCUGAAACCGUGUACGUACAAGCAGUGGGAGCACGCUUAGGCGUGUGACUGCGUACCUUUUGUAUAAUGGGUCAGCGACUUAUAUUCUGUAGCAAGGUUAACCGAAUAGGGGAGCCGAAGGGAAACCGAGUCUUAACUGGGCGUUAAGUUGCAGGGUAUAGACCCGAAACCCGGUGAUCUAGCCAUGGGCAGGUUGAAGGUUGGGUAACACUAACUGGAGGACCGAACCGACUAAUGUUGAAAAAUUAGCGGAUGACUUGUGGCUGGGGGUGAAAGGCCAAUCAAACCGGGAGAUAGCUGGUUCUCCCCGAAAGCUAUUUAGGUAGCGCCUCGUGAAUUCAUCUCCGGGGGUAGAGCACUGUUUCGGCAAGGGGGUCAUCCCGACUUACCAACCCGAUGCAAACUGCGAAUACCGGAGAAUGUUAUCACGGGAGACACACGGCGGGUGCUAACGUCCGUCGUGAAGAGGGAAACAACCCAGACCGCCAGCUAAGGUCCCAAAGUCAUGGUUAAGUGGGAAACGAUGUGGGAAGGCCCAGACAGCCAGGAUGUUGGCUUAGAAGCAGCCAUCAUUUAAAGAAAGCGUAAUAGCUCACUGGUCGAGUCGGCCUGCGCGGAAGAUGUAACGGGGCUAAACCAUGCACCGAAGCUGCGGCAGCGACGCUUAUGCGUUGUUGGGUA
RNAcentral lists this ribosomal RNA (883 nucleotides) under Escherichia coli. Its description in RNAcentral is "partial 23S ribosomal RNA". It matches the Rfam family "Bacterial large subunit ribosomal RNA", at positions 344 to 1230 of the family's 2925-position model. The record is from RNAcentral. Lineage: Bacteria; Pseudomonadati; Pseudomonadota; Gammaproteobacteria; Enterobacterales; Enterobacteriaceae.